GGAUACAUGGACUGCCUUCAAGCAGGAAGUUGUCAGUAGAGAAACAGAGGAGUGCUGGUUUUCGACUGCUGUGGAAAAAAUGCACCUCACACACUCAUCUCUUGUUACUGUGGUCCUCCUUGUGUCACCAAAACAGCUCUGACCUGUGAGGCAUGGACUCCACAAGACCUCUGAAGGUGUGCUGUGGUAUCUGGCACCAAGACGUUAGCAGCAGAUCCUUGAAGUCCUCCAAAUGUGUUUUUAGAGGCCUUUCCCAAUCUAAAACCCUCCUGUGGAGAUUCUGACUGCAUUCCCACAUUGACAGAGCUACUGCAAGGAUCUGCAGCAGAAAACAGACCUGAAAAAAAUGGUAGGCAGAGUCUAUUGGACAGCCUUCAGGAUCUGGACCGCAUGAUUGGUGUGAAAUACAAGGUGGCAGAGUCUCUGUCCCGAAAGCUUCUCCUGCAGUCACUGAACCUGAGGACCCUGAACCCUGAGCAUGCAGGCGGCCGUAAACAAAACAUGGCAAGGUUUUCACCGAACCUUCCCACGUCCAACCAGCAGUUAGCAGCUAAUGCUAAAAGAAGACUCUCUUAUGACAUCAACAGAAACAUCAUGUCAUAGUUUCUCCCAACUUUAAAUCACUCUAUUCUUCAACAGCUGGAGAAAGAAUAACUUCAGAUGAAAACAAGCAGAUUUUUUCCCCCUUAAGCCUGUGCCCUCUGUUCCCGCUGCAGUCACACGGAAGAUUAGUUGUUGUAUAUUUAUCUCUGUUAGUAUUUUUGUCCAUUUCCCAACAAUCUAUUUAAAAUCAAAACACAUCACAUGCAUCCUGAUGUUGCUAAAAGACAUUCCUGGGUCAACAAGGAUCAGCUUGAUCAUAUGACAUUACCACAUUUACCUGAGACUAAUUAACUAUAUAGUGAACUUUGCUACUGGUUUUGAUUACACAAUAAAAGCAUUUACCUAAUGUUAGCUUGCUAGUACUUAACAUCAGAUAUCUAAUGCUGGGGAGGGAGCACUGAUGUUAGUUAGGCCAACUACUUAGCUGGUUAACUUAUCGAACGUUGCCAGACUAAUAUUAUUUCUUUCAUUCAUUCAUUCAUUCAUUCAUUCAUUCAUCUAUAUCCGGUGUCAUGGUGGAUUUGGAGCCGAUCCCAAGAACACUGGGCACUGGGUAAGAAUCCAUCACCGGACACCUUGCACACACAUUCAAACAUUCAUUCACACCUAUGGGCAAUUUAGCAUAUCCAAUCCACCUACCAGCAUGUUUUUGGAAGGUGGGAGGAAACUGGAAAACCCAGAGGAAAACCAUGUGGACACAGGAAGAACAGAAACUCUACACAAACAGUAACAAAUGCUGUAUUAUGUCAUUACAUUAUGCCUGGACAAUUGAAAGCACAGGUUAGGGAUAAUUUCACAUAUUACUCCCUUAUUGACCCAGGGAUUCAUUUUCUCAUUUAGCAGAUACGUUUAUCUGUAGUAAAUUGCAAGCAUAGAUAUAGAAGAAGAACAAGAGCAACAAUAACAACAACAAUAAGAACAAUAAUUAUUAAUUAUUAAUUAUUAAAUAUUUAAUAUUAUUAAUAAUUAUUAAAUAAUUUUUAAGGGCUCAGUAGCAUCACUCUGAACUUAGCUUUCAAGUAAUCAAUAAGGAACCUUAACCUAUUAUUACUCCCAGUGUGGACAAUAAGGAUAUUUGGACAUUAAAAUUAUAUAACAUUGAGCUGAAACAAAAUUUACUAGUCCUGUGCCAAAACGUGAUCCAUACUGUUACACUUUACAUUUUCUUCUUUGUAAUGACGUUUCAAUUGUUCUGGUUCUUGUCUCUCAAAUUACAUUUGUUUCAGAUUAAAUGUUUGUUGUCCAAAUUAUCAUCCUAGCUCACUGUUCAAUGAAAUGAAUGAUGAAUAUUUGGAUUUUUUUUCAGACCAUUAAAAUCUAACUGCUUUUAUUUUCUUUAUUUUUCAUUUGAAUCAGACAAUUACAAUGUGCCAUUUUUACCAAAUGUGAAAUUCUGAAGAAUAAAAACUAUUUUCUCAGUUUGAUGAUCAUGUACUCCUGUCAACAUGUUAAUAAUAAUGAUGAUGAUAAUAAAAAAAAGUAAUCAUUGGAUUUGAGCUUGUUUCUGCAAAUGGCUGAUUGUGGUUGCAAAG
Molecule: long non-coding RNA, 2135 nt
Organism: Ictalurus punctatus (channel catfish)
Lineage: Eukaryota; Metazoa; Chordata; Actinopteri; Siluriformes; Ictaluridae
Source: Ensembl